RNAcentral lists this ribosomal RNA (274 nucleotides) under uncultured bacterium. RNAcentral's name for it is "partial 16S ribosomal RNA". It matches the Rfam family "Bacterial small subunit ribosomal RNA", at positions 523 to 796 of the family's 1533-position model. The record is from RNAcentral.
AUACAGAGGGUGCAAGCGUUAUUCGGAAUCACUGGGCGUAAAGGACACGUAGGCGGGAAGCCAAGUCUGAUGUGAAAUCCUAUGGCUCAACCAUAGAACUGCAUUGGAAACUGGUUACCUAGAGUAUGGGAGGGGGAGAUGGAAUUAGUGGUGUAGGGGUAAAAUCCGUAGAUAUCACUAGGAAUACCUAAAGCGAAGGCGAUCUCCUGGAACAUUACUGACGCUAAGGUGUGAAAGCGUGGGGAGCAAACGGGAUUAGAAACCCUAGUAGUCC